This 1487-nucleotide ribosomal RNA is filed under the name metagenome. RNAcentral describes it as "bacterial SSU rRNA". It matches the Rfam family "Bacterial small subunit ribosomal RNA". The record is from RNAcentral.
AGAGUUUGAUCAUGGCUCAGAUUGAACGCUGGCGGCAUGCCUUACACAUGCAAGUCGAACGGCAGCGCGGGGCAACCUGGCGGCGAGUGGCGAACGGGUGAGUAAUAUAUCGGAACGUACCCUGGAGUGGGGGAUAACGUAGCGAAAGUUACGCUAAUACCGCAUACGAUCUAAGGAUGAAAGCAGGGGACCGCAAGGCCUUGUGCUCCUGGAGCGGCCGAUAUCUGAUUAGCUAGUUGGUGGGGUAAAGGCCCACCAAGGCAUCGAUCAGUAGCUGGUCUGAGAGGACGACCAGCCACACUGGAACUGAGACACGGUCCAGACUCCUACGGGAGGCAGCAGUGGGGAAUUUUGGACAAUGGGCGCAAGCCUGAUCCAGCAAUGCCGCGUGAGUGAAGAAGGCCUUCGGGCUGUAAAGCUCUUUUGUCAGGGAAGAAACGGCCUGUUCUAAUACAGUGGGCUAAUGACGGUACCUGAAGAAUAAGCACCGGCUAACUACGUGCCAGCAGCCGCGGUAAUACGUAGGGUGCAAGCGUUAAUCGGAAUUACUGGGCGUAAAGCGUGCGCAGGCGGUUUUGUAAGUCUGCCGUGAAAUCCCCGGGCUCAACCUGGGAAUGGCGAUGGAGACUGCAAGGCUAGAGUUUGGCAGAGGGGGGUAGAAUUCCACGUGUAGCAGUGAAAUGCGUAGAUAUGUGGAGGAACACCGAUGGCGAAGGCAGCCCCCUGGGUCAAAACUGACGCUCAUGCACGAAAGCGUGGGGAGCAAACAGGAUUAGAUACCCUGGUAGUCCACGCCCUAAACGAUGUCUACUAGUUGUCGGGUCUUAAUUGACUUGGUAACGCAGCUAACGCGUGAAGUAGACCGCCUGGGGAGUACGGUCGCAAGAUUAAAACUCAAAGGAAUUGACGGGGACCCGCACAAGCGGUGGAUGAUGUGGAUUAAUUCGAUGCAACGCGAAAAACCUUACCUACCCUUGACAUGGAAGGAAUCCCGGAGAGAUUUGGGAGUGCCCGAAAGGGAACCUUUACACAGGUGCUGCAUGGCUGUCGUCAGCUCGUGUCGUGAGAUGUUGGGUUAAGUCCCGCAACGAGCGCAACCCUUGUCAUUAGUUGCUACGAAAGAGCACUCUAAUGAGACUGCCGGUGACAAACCGGAGGAAGGUGGGGAUGACGUCAAGUCCUCAUGGCCCUUAUGGGUAGGGCUUCACACGUCAUACAAUGGUACAUACAGAGGGCCGCCAACCCGCGAGGGGGAGCUAAUCCCAGAAAGUGUAUCGUAGUCCGGAUUGUAGUCUGCAACUCGACUGCAUGAAGUUGGAAUCGCUAGUAAUCGCGGAUCAGCAUGUCGCGGUGAAUACGUUCCCGGGUCUUGUACACACCGCCCGUCACACCAUGGGAGCGGGUUUUACCAGAAGUAGGUAGCUUAACCGCAAGGAGGGCGCUUACCACGGUAGGAUUCGUGACUGGGGUGAAGUCGUAACAAGGUA